UUCAGCCUCCCCACCCAGACAAGAGACAGAGGCUGACAGGAGCAGCUGCUCUUAGACACCACCCCCUGGUCUCUCUGCUGCCUGUGUCAGUCUGGGUUUUUGUUCCCGUGAGAGUGGGCACCUGUGGUGGUGGGUUUCUACCUCCUGUCCCCAUGGACAUUAUGGAAAGUCCCAAGAAGCAGGAGCUGCAAACACAGGGGAGCAGAGCCUGGGACAAUCCUGCCUACAGCAACCCUCCUUCCCCAAAUGGGACCCUGAGGAUCUGCACUGUCUCCAGUGUGGCUUUCCCUGAGACUCAACCGAAAAAGCCAGAGGUCAGACGCCAGGAGAGGACACAGAGAACCCUGGUAUCCAGCUGCUGUCUCUGUAUCUGUCAGAGCAUCAGAGGACUAUGGGGGACAACGCUGACUGAGAACACAGCCGAGAACAGAGAGCUUUAUGUCAAGACCACCCUGAGGGAGCUUGUGGUGUACAUCGUGUUCCUCGUGGAUGUCUGUCUGUUGACCUACGGAAUGACAAGUUCCAGUGCUUAUUACUACACCAAAGUGAUGUCUGAGCUGUUCCUUCAAACCCCAUCGCACUCUGGAGUCUCCUUCCAGACCAUCAGCAGCAUGUCAGACUUCUGGGAUUUUGCUCAGGGCCCACUCCUGGACAGUUUGUACUGGACAAAGUGGUACAACAACCAAAGCCUGGGGCAUGGCUCCCACUCCUUCAUCUACUAUGAGAACCUGCUCCUGGGGGCCCCGAGGUUGCGGCAGCUGCGGGUGCGCAACGACUCCUGUGUGGUUCAUGAAGACUUCCGGGAGGACAUUUUGAACUGUUAUGAUGUCUACUCUCCGGACAAAGAAGAUCAGCUCCCCUUUGGACCUCUCAAUGGCACAGCGUGGACAUACCAUUCACAGAAUGAGCUGGGGGGUUCCUCCCACUGGGGCAAGCUCACAAGCUACAGUGGGGGUGGCUACUACUUAGAUCUUCCAGGAUCCCGACAAGCCAGUGCAGAGGCCCUCCAAGGACUCCAGGAGGGAUUAUGGCUGGACAGGGGCACUCGGGUGGUCUUUAUCGACUUCUCCGUGUAUAAUGCCAACAUCAAUCUUUUCUGUAUUUUGAGACUGGUGGUAGAGUUUCCAGCCACAGGAGGAACCAUCCCGUCCUGGCAGAUCCGCACAGUUAAGCUGAUCCGCUACGUGAAUAACUGGGACUUCUUCAUUGUGGGCUGUGAAGUCAUCUUCUGUGUCUUCAUCUUCUACUAUGUGGUGGAGGAAAUCCUGGAAAUCCACCUGCAUCGGUUUCGCUACCUCAGCAGCGUCUGGAACAUUAUGGACCUGGUGGUCAUCUUGCUCUCCAUCGUGGCUGUGGGUUUCCACAUAUUCCGAACUCUGGAAGUGAACCGACUGAUGGGAAAGCUCCUGCAGCAGCCAGACACGUAUGCAGACUUUGAGUUCCUGGCCUUCUGGCAGACUCAGUACAAUAACAUGAAUGCGGUCAACCUUUUCUUUGCUUGGAUCAAGAUAUUCAAGUACAUCAGCUUCAACAAGACCAUGACCCAGCUCUCCUCCACCCUGGCUCGCUGUGCCAAGGAUAUCCUGGGCUUCGCCAUCAUGUUCUUUGUUGUCUUCUUCGCUUACGCCCAGCUUGGCUACCUGCUUUUCGGGACCCAAGUGGAAAACUUUAGCACUUUCGUCAAGUGCAUUUUCACUCAGUUCCGGAUAAUCCUUGGAGAUUUUGACUACAAUGCAAUUGACAACGCCAACCGAAUCCUGGGCCCUGUGUACUUUGUCACCUAUGUCUUCUUCGUCUUCUUCGUGCUCCUGAAUAUGUUCCUGGCCAUCAUCAAUGACACAUAUUCAGAGGUCAAAGAGGAGCUGGCUGGCCAGAAGGAUCAGUUUCAGCUUUCUGACCUCCUGAAGCAGGUGACCACACAGUCUCUGCAUAGCAUCUCUAUGUCUGGGUUUGGUUCUAAGGUGCUGUGCCAUGGUGGGCUAUUCUUGAUUGGUGCAGGUGCCUGUGUUCUUGAAUGCCUUUGACUUGUACCUGGGGGCUUGAGAUCUUCAGUUGGAGGUGGGAGCGGGGGCAAUGGUGCUGAGAACCCUGUGAGCAAGUCUGUCAGCUUCCUCUCCCUUUCAGAGCUACAACAAGACCCUACUAAGGCUGCACCUGAGGAAAGAGCGGGUUUCAGAUGUGCAGAAGGUCCUGAAGGGUGGGGAACCGGAGAUCCAGUUUGAAGAUUUCACCAACACCUUGAGGGAACUGGGGCACGAGGAGCACGAGAUCACGGCUGCCUUCAGCAGGUUUGAUCAGGAUGGAGAUCACAUACUAGAUGAGGAGGAGCAGGAACAGAUGCAACAGGGGCUGGAAGAGGAGAGGGUGACCCUCAGUGCUGAGAUUGAGAACUUAGGCCGGUCUGUUGGAUACAGUCCCCCAGGUGAAUUGGGAACAGAGGCUGCCAGAGGACGAAACUGGGUUUCUGGAGAAGAAUUCGACAUGCUCACAAGGAGAGUUCUGCAAUUGCAGCGUGUUCUGGAAGGAGUUGUAUCCCAGGUUGAGGCUGUGGGCUCAAAGCUGAAGAUGCUGGAGAGGAAAGGGGAGCUGGCUCCCUCCCCAUGAAUGGUGAGAGCAGCUGUUUGGGAGAACUCGUAUAAUCCAUCCUAGGUGUCACUCCAGCCCUUUGGGAGUUCAGGGUGGGCUGGAGGAUGGAAAGGGGGCUCCAAAAGCAACAGACAGCAAGUUCCUCUCUCUCUGCCUUCCCACAAGCCUCUUCUCCACCUCCCCCCUGCCUUUCUAGGGCAGCAUGUCUCAUGAUAGCUGCUAUGGAGUUCCACCCUGUAUCUGGCCUUUUGAGCCAAUGUUUUUGUGUGUAGCUGGGCAAGCAUGCUUAGGCUUGUCCCUUGGUGUUUCUGUAUGUAGUUGCACAGUUCUGUAAAGUAGCAUUUCCUACCUGGCCUCUCUCUUCCUGGGCAUUUACUUCUGCUGUAAUGAUUGACACCAAUAACAAAUAAGAAAAAGCAGGAGAUGGCAGUGACUCUCCUGAAGAUUUCAGACAGCCACGGUUAGUCAAAAGGUAGAAGUCCAAGAGUAGCUGAUGGAUAUUUCUUCCUACAUUCCAGUAACUCUUACCCUCCUCCCAUGUGUGUCACAAUAUCUACCAUUGGCAUGUAUGGCUGUGUGUAGGGGGUCUUCUCUAUCCCAUGGAGUUUCCCUGUAAAAGAGAAAAGGAAGCCAUAGAGGAAAGAAGAUUCUUGUGUGGUGAGAUUCCAACCGAGGAGUUACGAGUGAUCAAUGAAAGCUCUUCUGGAGGAGCCUGUCUUCUGCUUCUGAUGUUCCACUGACUACCUGGAACCAAGGGAACUUCAAUCCUGGAAUCACACAGAACCUGAAGGAAUCACGCAAGAGAUGGUAUCUGGACUCAUUGAUCUUUGGACUAAUAUGUGAUGGUCUCUGGCUCUAUUCAUCAUAGGACAAUGUGAGGCUCCAAGAUUAUGAUUAUCAAUAAAACUCUUUAGAAAA
Non-coding RNA from Arvicanthis niloticus (Nile rat), 3504 nucleotides. The record is from RefSeq and is a predicted model, not a curated record. NCBI's taxonomy places the organism in Eukaryota, Metazoa, Chordata, Mammalia, Rodentia, Muridae.